This 61-nucleotide transfer RNA is filed under the name Anaka burmensis. Its description in RNAcentral is "tRNA-Ala". The record is from RNAcentral. Lineage: Eukaryota; Metazoa; Arthropoda; Insecta; Hemiptera; Cicadellidae.
UGGGAUUAUAUUUAAUUAUAAUAUUUGAUUUGCAUUCAAAAGGUGUUUAAUAACUAAUCUU